AGUCUGGCCUGCCCACUGAGGGUAUUUAAAGGCCGCGGUAUCAUGACCGUGCGAAGGUAGCAUAAUCAUUAGUCUUUUAAUUGGGGGCUGGUAUGAAGGGUCGGACGAGAAAUGAGCUGUCUUAAAUUUUGAAAAUUGAAUUUAACUUUUAAGUGAGAAGGCUUAAAUAGGCUAGGGGGACGAUAAGACCCUAUAAAGUUUGACAUUAAAUUAAUUAAGGGUAAUUUAGAUUAUAAAGUCUUAUUAUUAUAUAAGUGUUUAGUUGGGGCGACUAGGAUAUAAGUUAUUUAACUGUUUCUUCAUUCGAAUCAAAAAUUUUUGAUUUUAUGAUCCUUUUUAAGGGUACUAGAGUAAAUUACUUUAGGGAUAACAGCGUAAUUUUUUUUGAGAGUUCUUAUCGAUAAAAGAGUUUGCGACCUCGAUGUUGAAUUAAAAUUUCUUUGUAAUGCAGCAGUUACAAGAGAGGGUCUGUUCGACCUUUAAAUUUUUACAUGAUUUGAGUUCAGACCGGCGUGAGCCAGGUUGGUUUU
RNAcentral lists this ribosomal RNA (530 nucleotides) under Cherax destructor albidus. RNAcentral describes it as "partial 16S ribosomal RNA". It matches the Rfam family "Archaeal large subunit ribosomal RNA", at positions 1943 to 2707 of the family's 2987-position model. The record is from RNAcentral. Lineage: Eukaryota; Metazoa; Arthropoda; Malacostraca; Decapoda; Parastacidae.